RNAcentral lists this non-coding RNA (24 nucleotides) under Cricetulus griseus (Chinese hamster). The record is from RNAcentral. Lineage: Eukaryota; Metazoa; Chordata; Mammalia; Rodentia; Cricetidae.
GUCUUGAGUGAAGAUUAACACACA